This is a long non-coding RNA of Amphiprion ocellaris (clown anemonefish), 2530 nucleotides long. The record is from Ensembl. NCBI's taxonomy places the organism in Eukaryota, Metazoa, Chordata, Actinopteri, Pomacentridae.
GCCUCUAUUCUGCAUUAUAAUACUACUUCACAUCAUAUUCUGUGUUUUUGACCUCUUUUUGUUGUUUUGUAGGUUUUAAUCUGACGUCGUUCUCUUAUUCCCAGAUAUUUGGCAGCAGCCGCAGCCGUGAACUACAUAUACCAUCAUGCCUUGCGCGCUUACGUUUGCUGAAAGCAGCAUGUGCUUCGCUGCUCCGCUCCAACUAUGGCUCAGUGAGGCUGCGGCUCUUCUCAGGAUGGUGUCGUAUCGGCAGAGGCGCUCUUUGGAGCUACAGCAGAGACUAUCAUCGCACUGGACCAGAGGGAGGAACCGGCAUCUUUUUGUUCCUUACUGGAAAUAUUCAUAAUCUGCUUGAUUUGCCAAACCCAGUUUUUGGCACGGAUUCUUUUAAUUUACAAAGAGGAUUAAAUUGUAACGUUACAACGCGGACACACGUGGAUUGAUACUAUCAUUUUGCUUUAACCUGAUCAUGAGGGCAACAGCCGAGGGACUUAAAACUGUAGCUAUGGCUCGUCCUGUAGGUAUCAGGGAAAACUGUCCUGUCCGGGAUGAGUGGCGUCUGUUACUGCCACAGUCCUCCUGCUGGACAAGUCGGUCGACUCUCCUGGGAUAACUUGGGAUACACGCGUUGUCAACACUGUCAGAGGUGGUCAGUGUCAUAUGCUUUUGGAAAUGUAUUCUUUUGGAUUUUGGCACAAGGAAAAGGAUACCCUGGAAUAAAUUUUGGAAGCUGUGCUCCGUAGAUGUCCAGUGAUUUGGAUAAUAUGAAUACGCAUCUCCUGACCCAGCAGGCACACCGAAGGAACAUAGAAGAUCACAGAAAGGUGAAAGGAAAGGAUUCGUGGAGGACAGGUUUUUUUUCCCCUCGCACGUCCUUGACCCCCUCCCAGUGCGCAAACUGGAGAACAAACAGUAAAACACAUAGUGCAGUACAGGGGCAUUUCUGUCAGCCCAGAUACAGACAGACAGCACUCUAUUCAGUCUGAAGCUUCAUACACCACCUACCUCACAACAAGGACCCUAUGGAUCUGCAGGACAGAUGCUAAAAAAUGUCUACAACUCUAAUAGUAAGAAAGGAUUAUAUGCAGUUGAGGAGGUCACUGUUUGGAUUUACAGUGCAGAAGUUUAUUCUGUAGCACAAAAUUGACUUGACUGCAGGAAGGGUGCGAGAUCAUUUUCAGUUUGUGUCUGGUGCAUAUGCAUUUGAAACAGACAGGUGUCUGGAGUGGACUUUUAGGUGCAUUCUUUACCUGCCUUGCAUGCACAAAAAACAAAAAAAGUAAAAAUCAGAUUGGUCUAGGUUUUGCAAUACUUUAAAUUCCAGCUAUUUCUCCUGUUUUCUUUCAAAGUGAUUUCACUUGUUCUGUUCUUGCUCCUGUUUGAGGGGAAAAUUCCUCCCUUUGUCUUUCACAAAUGUCACAUUCCAUUCCACCGAACCUGUGACCAUGUUGGACCUUCACUUUGCUGGGUGUGGAUCGCCAUGGCAGCCUCACUGUGUUUCAGCCAGUCACACCUACAUAAUGAAGGAGUCCAGGCUCUUGGCAAUGAGAUGUCAACCUUUAUUUGUUCCCAGCAAUCUUCUGAUUAUCUCCAGUGAGCAACAAGAAGAGGCUGACUAAUGGAAACAUGAUCUCAAGAGAUUCAACAGGAUCACACCAAAUCCAAGUUUGGAUGGUGGACCAGCAUCCCCACAGCAGAUGUUUGCUCCUGGCAUGGCUGCUGACAGUAUGAGCUCCAUCACUGACAGUCUAGCUCUCAGGAUCCAGCCAGCAGCUUGAACUUGGAGGAGCCAUGACAUAAACUCACCAGGAUAGCAAAGCAUAUUCCGCUGCUCAGGCAUCAUGGAACAUAUCAGUCAACCUCUUCUGGAAAGGUGCUCAAGAGAGGAGUCAACUUGAUGAAUGAGCAUUUACUGUAGCUACCAUGACGGUCUACAUACUGUUUAACUAUUUUCUAAAUUGAAACUGGAUUAGUAUUUUCCCGUGCAUACAUCUGCUCUUGAUUUUCAAUAUUUACUGACACUGUUGCUCAUAUACUGUAGCUGUGAUUUUUACUGUGUUAUUCUAAAUACAGCAUCAAUAGUUUUUUUGGAUUUCAUUUUCUGGACUAUUUUUACUACUUUGAAGGCUAUUCUUUGCUUAACAUUUCAGGUUGAUCGAAUGAGGAUACAUAUCUCCUAUGCAUGUGAUCAAAAUGCCUCAGAAAAAUUACUCUGCCAAGACAAUGGAACAUUUCAAAGAAGCCAUUGUCAUCAUGGUCUUGAUAAAUGUAAAACAAAAUCUCUUUUAAUGACAACGCAUUUUGUUUUGACACAUUGGCAGCGUGUCUUAAUUCUGGUUCAUAAUCCUGUCAAGUUGUCGACUCUCAUUAUGAUUUAUUGCUCCAACAUUUGUGUUGUGUCUGUGAAACCUUGUUAGCAGAAAUAAAGAGGUGUAUCCAAGCUGCUGUCUGUUUUAUCAUUGCAUCUGCAGCUCUGUGAGAUGAGUAACCGAUAAGAUGGUUUCAUGAUGUUAUCUGUGUCAACUGUUAC